UGUUACUGAAGAUCCUGUAGCUAAACAAAAAUCGACCCCAGGUCAUGAAUCUGCAGCCUCCUUGAAACCGGUUUUAGGUGCUAAAACCGCAGCAGGUUCUCCACAGGACUUCCAUUCCAUCUUUCAUCCGGCACCCAUAGUUAAAGUCACUCAGGCAGAAGCCCACCACUCAACGCCCAAGGAGGCUGAUGAUCGCAACGAUAGCUCCGCUCCCGAAAC
Long non-coding RNA from Musca vetustissima, 219 nucleotides. RefSeq lists it as uncharacterized. The record is from RefSeq and is a predicted model, not a curated record. The transcript is spliced from 3 exons. NCBI's taxonomy places the organism in Eukaryota, Metazoa, Arthropoda, Insecta, Diptera, Muscidae.